UACGUAGGGAGCAAGCGUUGUCCGGAAUCAUUGGGCGUAAAGCGCGCGUAGGUGGCUUCGUAAGUCCGUUGUGAAAGUCAAAGGCUCAACCUUUGAAAGCCGAUGGAUACUGUGAAGCUAGAGUACGGAAGAGGCGAGUGGAAUUCCUGGUGUAGCGGUGGAAUGCGCAGAUAUCAGGAGGAACACCAGUGGCGAAGGCGGUGCUCUGGGCCGGAACUGACGCUGAGGAGCGAAAGCGUGGGGAGCAAACAGG
This 253-nucleotide ribosomal RNA is filed under the name uncultured bacterium. Its description in RNAcentral is "partial 16S ribosomal RNA". It matches the Rfam family "Bacterial small subunit ribosomal RNA", at positions 524 to 776 of the family's 1533-position model. The record is from RNAcentral.